This 253-nucleotide ribosomal RNA is filed under the name uncultured bacterium. RNAcentral's name for it is "partial 16S ribosomal RNA". It matches the Rfam family "Bacterial small subunit ribosomal RNA", at positions 524 to 776 of the family's 1533-position model. The record is from RNAcentral.
UACGUAGGGGGCAAGCGUUGUCCGGAUUUAUUGGGCGUAAAGAGCGUGUAGGCGGUUCGGUAGGUCCGUUGUGAAAACUCGAGGCUCAACCUCGAGACGCCGAUGGAAACCCCCGAACUAGAGUCCGGAAGAGGUGAGUGGAAUUCCUAGUGUAGAGGUGAAAUUCGUAGAUAUUAGGAAGAACACCAGUGGCGAAGGCGGCUCACUGGUCCGGUACUGACGCUGAGGUGCGAAAGCGUGGGGAGCAAACAGG